CCCCAACGGCUUACCAAACCUAACCAAACUCCGAAUACCGAGGAGUACUAGAUGGCAGACACACUGCGGGUGCUAAGGUCCGUAGUGGAGAGGGAAACAGCCCUGACCGCCAGCUAAGGUCCCUAAGUUAUCACUAAGUGGGAAACGAUGUGGGAGUGCUUAGACAACCAGGAGGUUGGCUUAGAAGCAGCCAUCCUUUAAAGAAAGCGUAACAGCUCACUGGUCAAGCGCUCCUGCGCGGAAAAUGUAACGGGGCUUAAGUGAUACACCGAAGCUGCGGGCUCGAAAGAGCGGUAGCGGAGCGUUCUGUAAGUCUGCGAAGGGCAGGUGCGAGCCUGCUUGGAGAUAUCAGAAGUGAGAAUGCUGACAUGAGUAGCGAUAAAGAGGGUGAGAGACCCUCUCGCCGAAAGUCCAAGGGUUCCUGCGCAAUGCUAAUCAGCGCAGGGUAAGCCGGCCCCUAAGGCGAGGCCGAAAGGCGUAGUCGAUGGGAACCAGGUUAAUAUUCCUGGGCCAGCGGGUAGUGACGGAUUCCGGACUUUGUUCAUCCUUACUGGAUUGGGUGGGCAAUAAAGGCGUCCCUGGAAAUAGCUCCCGCAUUAGACCGUACCCCAAACCGACACAGGUGGACUGGUAGAGCAUACCAAGGCGCUUGAGAGAACUCUGCUGAAGGAACUCGGCAAAUUACUCCCGUAAGUUCGCGAGAAGGGAGCCUGGCGUCGGGCAACCGAUGUCCAGGGGCACAGACCAGGGGGUGGCGACUGUUUACUAAAAACACAGGGCUCUGCGAAGUCGCAAGACGACGUAUAGGGUCUGACGCCUGCCCGGUGCCGGAAGGUUAAAAGGAGGAGUGAGAGCUCCGAAUUGAAGCCCCGGUAAACGGCGGCCGUAACUAUAACGGUCCUAAGGUAGCGAAAUUCCUUGUCGGGUAAGUUCCGACCUGCACGAAUGGCGUAACGACUUCCCCACUGUCUCCAGCAUAGACUCAGUGAAAUUGAACUCUCCGUGAAGAUGCGGAGUACCCGUGGUCAGACGGAAAGACCCCGUGCACCUUUACUACAGCUUCGCAGUGGUAUUAGGGGUGUGUUGUGUAGGAUAGGUGGGAGACUAUGAAGCAGUGCCGCCAGGUAUUGUGGAGUCAUCCUUGAAAUACCACCCUAUAUACCUUUGAUAUCUAACCGCGGCCCGUGAAACCGGGUCCGGGACAUUGCGUGGCGGGUAGUUUGACUGGGGCGGUCGCCU
This 1239-nucleotide ribosomal RNA is filed under the name Prorocentrum minimum. Its description in RNAcentral is "bacterial LSU rRNA". It matches the Rfam family "Bacterial large subunit ribosomal RNA", at positions 926 to 2288 of the family's 2925-position model. Lineage: Eukaryota; Dinophyceae; Prorocentrales; Prorocentraceae. The record is from RNAcentral.